This 512-nucleotide ribosomal RNA is filed under the name uncultured bacterium. Its description in RNAcentral is "bacterial SSU rRNA". It matches the Rfam family "Bacterial small subunit ribosomal RNA", at positions 28 to 498 of the family's 1533-position model. The record is from RNAcentral.
GACGAACGCUGGCGGCGUGCCUAAUACAUGCAAGUCGAACGCACUCUCGUUUAGAUUGAAGGAGCUUGCUCCUGAUUGAUAAACAUUUGAGUGAGUGGCGGACGGGUGAGUAACACGUGGGUAACCUGCCCUAAAGUGGGGGAUAACAUUUGGAAACAGAUGCUAAUACCGCAUAAAACCUAAACACCGCACGGUGUAGGGUUGAAAGAUGGUUUCGGCUAUCACUUUAGGAUGGACCCGCGGUGCAUUAGUUAGUUGGUGAGGUAAAGGCUCACCAAGACCGUGAUGCAUAGCCGACCUGAGAGGGUAAUCGGCCACACUGGGACUGAGACACGGCCCAGACUCCUACGGGAGGCAGCAGUAGGGAAUCUUCCACAAUGGACGAAAGUCUGAUGGAGCAACGCCGCGUGAGUGAAGAAGGUUUUCGGAUCGUAAAACUCCGUUGUUGGAGAAGAAUGUAUCUGAUAGUAACUGAUCAGGUAGUGACGGUAUCCAACCAGAAAGCCACGGCU